This 665-nucleotide long non-coding RNA is filed under the name Oryza brachyantha (malo sina). RNAcentral's name for it is "long non-coding RNA (OBRA_LNC000361)". Lineage: Eukaryota; Viridiplantae; Streptophyta; Magnoliopsida; Poales; Poaceae. The record is from RNAcentral.
CCUUGUGUUAUAUUACUGUCCAUAACCAUAAGUGGUUUCAAAAGAUUAACGUGGACAGGUCAGUACACUGAGAUACUACACCCAACAAACACCAACCAAUUUGAAGCACUCGCAACUAGCAAGAGUAGAGGAAAAAAUAUCCAUAUGGCAUCGAGUUGGUAGCACAGUGAGACAUUCUUGACCACAUAUAUGAUGUCUGAUCACACCACCUUUAGUUAACCAACCAAUCUGUAUCAUUUGUCUAAUCAAAUCACCUUUAGUUAACCAAUCAAACCAUAUUAGUACCAUAACAUUGUGCAAGUAGUAUAAUAGAAGAAUGAUAAAUGCCACCAUAUUAUUAGACAGCUAGUAUUACACUCCCAUCCAUUUGGACUUGGUUCAUCUCAGUUUGGAUGGAUGCUUUCCUAGCCACAACAUUUUUUAGCCUUGAUGAUAAUUAAUAAGAAUUUAGGAUUAAUUAAUUGAGGAGGAGGAAGCGAACAAAUAAUGAUUGCCCACAAAUUUUGCAUUUUUUUAGUAGUAGAGUAUCUAUCUAACUAUCUAUCUGAGAUGGCCGGAAGGUUCGCCGUGCGGUGGACGGCGGCGACUCAGGAGCACUCGGCCCAGCCCUCCUCGGCGGCCGGCCUGGAGGCGCGCGCCAUCCACGACGCCACCGUGAGCAGNNN